RNAcentral lists this ribosomal RNA (433 nucleotides) under uncultured bacterium. Its description in RNAcentral is "partial 16S ribosomal RNA". It matches the Rfam family "Bacterial small subunit ribosomal RNA", at positions 29 to 507 of the family's 1533-position model. The record is from RNAcentral.
AGCGAACGCUGGCGGCAGGCUUAACACAUGCAAGUCGAGCGGGCACUUCGGUGUCAGCGGCAGACGGGUGAGUAACACGUGGGAACGUACCCUUUGGUUCGGAAUAACGCUGGGAAACUAGCGCUAAUACCGGAUACGCCCUUUUGGGGAAAGGCUUGCUGCCGAAGGAUCGGCCCGCGUCUGAUUAGCUGGUUGGUGGGGUAAUGGCCUACCAAGGCGACGAUCAGUAGCUGGUCUGAGAGGAUGAUCAGCCACACUGGGACUGAGACACGGCCCAGACUCCUACGGGAGGCAGCAGUGGGGAAUAUUGGACAAUGGGCGCAAGCCUGAUCAAGCCAUGCCGCGUGAGUGAUGAAGGCCUUAGGGUUGUAAAGCUCUUUUGUCCGGGACGAUAAUGACGGUACCGGAAGAAUAAGCCCCGGCUAACUUCGUG